This 481-nucleotide ribosomal RNA is filed under the name uncultured bacterium. RNAcentral's name for it is "partial 16S ribosomal RNA". It matches the Rfam family "Bacterial small subunit ribosomal RNA", at positions 28 to 507 of the family's 1533-position model. The record is from RNAcentral.
GACGAACGCUGGCGGCGUGCUUAACACAUGCAAGUCGAACGGGAUCCGGGCUUUCGGGGUUGGGGAGAGUGGCGAACGGGUGAGUAACACGUGAGUAACCUGCCCCCUUCUUUGGGAUAACGUCGGGAAAUCGGCGCUAAUACUGGAUAUUCUUGCUGCAUCGCAUGGUGUGGUUUGGAAAGGGUUUCUGGUGGGGGAUGGGCUCGCGGCCUAUCAGCUUGUUGGUGGGGUGAUGGCCUACCAAGGCUUUGACGGGUAGCCGGCCUGAGAGGGUGUCCGGCCACACUGGGACUGAGACACGGCCCAGACUCCUACGGGAGGCAGCAGUGGGGAAUAUUGCACAAUGGGCGCAAGCCUGAUGCAGCGACGCCGCGUGAGGGAUGACGGCCUUCGGGUUGUAAACCUCUUUCAGUAUGGAACAAGGAUCCUUCUUUUGGGGGGUUUGAGGGUACGUGCAGAAGAAGCGCCGGCUAACUACGUG